ACUGCUCAGUAACACGUGGACAACCUGCCCUUAGGACGGGGAUAAACCCGGGAAACUGGGUAUAAUACCCGAUAGGUCUCGAUUGCUGGAAUGCAUCGAGAUUUAAAGCUCCGGCGCCUAAGGAUGGGUCUGCGGCCUAUCAGGUAGUAGUGGGUGUAGCGUACCUACUAGCCUACGACGGGUACGGGUUGUGAGAGCAAGAGCCCGGAGAUGGAUUCUGAGACACGAAUCCAGGCCCUACGGGGUGCAGCAGGCGCGAAAACUUUACAAUGCUGGCAACAGCGAUAAGGGAACCUCGAGUGCCAGGUUACAAAUCUGGCUGUCGAGAUGCCUAAAAAGCAUUUCAUAGCAAGGGCCGGGCAAGACCGGUGCCAGCCGCCGCGGUAACACCGGCGGCUCGAGUGGUAACCGUUAUUAUCGGGUCUAAAGGGUCUGUAGCCGGCCGGAUAAGUCUCUUGAGAAAUCUGGCAGCUUAACUGUCAGGCUUUCAGGAGAUACUGUCUGGCUCGAGGCCGGGAGAGGUGAGAGGUACUUCAGGGGUAGGGGUGAAAUCUUGUAAUCCUUGAAGGACCACCAGUGGCGAAGGCGUCUCACCAGAACGGACCUGACGGCAAGGGACGAAAGCUAGGGGCACGAACCGGAUUAGAUACCCGGGUAGUCCUAGCCGUAAACGAUACUCGCUAGGUGUCGGCCACGGUGCGACCGUUGUCGGUGCCGUAGGGAAGCCGUGAAGCGAGCCACCUGGGAAGUACGGCCGCAAGGCUGAAACUUAAAGGAAUUGGCGGGGGAGCAC
RNAcentral lists this ribosomal RNA (793 nucleotides) under Methanosaeta sp. enrichment culture clone A14107. Its description in RNAcentral is "bacterial SSU rRNA". It matches the Rfam family "Archaeal small subunit ribosomal RNA", at positions 85 to 879 of the family's 1478-position model. The record is from RNAcentral. Lineage: Archaea; Methanobacteriati; Methanobacteriota; Methanomicrobia; Methanotrichales; Methanotrichaceae.